AUGUCUGCUGGCUCCGCGCCGUGCAUCGUCCCGCAGCCAGCCCCGUCUAUUGCUCGAUCCCAUCUGGAUCGGGCCCCGCCGGCGCUGAGCCGCUCCGUCCAUGCUGUUGGCGGGUCAGGGAAGGUGCCGGUGGUGUCCUCGAGCAAGUUGGUUGCGCCUGUGCGUGCGCCCGCGCAGGCCUCUGCUGCGUCGAUCUUGGAGGGCCCGGAGGGGAUGUGCUCCCUCGUCGCCCCGCCACCGCAUCUCGGCUCGGGUCGGCCAGAUUCUGAGUCAUGGACCUCUCUCGCCGCUGACGGCGACGACGAUGAUGAAGAGGAGCCGGCCCCUAUGACACCGCCUGCUGCCAAGGCCUCGGCCCCAGUCGCUGCUCUGCCGGACGUGGUGGUGAAGGCGAGCGAGGGAUGGCAGGAGGUGUUGCCCCGGCGUGGUCCGCGUCACCCGACGUCGCUAGCCCAUGCAAUGGCUCCCCGUCCAAUCCCUGCUUGGCUGCACGGUAGAUGUUGCAGAUGCUUCGCUCCUGGGCAUCGUGCGGCCGAUUGCAGAGAUCCGCUUCGGUGCUCCCGUUGCUUGCAGAAUGGUCAUUGUGCUCGCAUAUGCCGCAAUCCUUGGCGUCCUCUAAGUUCUUUGGCAUGUCUUGCCAUGCCUCCAGUGCUCGGUUCCAUGCGCCAUCCUGCUCUAGCUUCAUGUAAGGAUGCAAUGAAAUCCGUGCUCCCUUCCAAGGCGAUUCACCAUGGGUCUUGGGCGUCUGUCAUCUCUGCUACCGUUGGCUCAGCAACCGCACCCGAUAUGAUGUUGCGGUCCUCUCUGGCUGAUCAGACAACAUUGUUGCAGAGUUGUCUGGCACGGGUUCAGAGCUUUCUCGAGCGGGCGGAGGCUGCUCUUAGCAGGCUCUCCCUUCCACCGGCUAGGUCGCAAACCACUCUGAUGUCAUGCCCUUCUGGUGUGGAAGAUGUUGGCUCUAUGGAGGAAGGGAGGCAAGAGUUAUAUGGAUGUUUCUCCUCUCGUGUUGAGAACGGUUCAUCGUCACUCUCAGGCGAGUCCAUUGUCGUGCUUGAAACUCCAGUGUUGCAGGUCAUGCCCGAGCUACGAGAGCUAUGUCUUUGCCCUGGUUCGCCUCUCUCUGUAGAGCAUUUGGAGGUGGUCUCAUCGGCGGCAUCGUGUGAGGGGCAUGUGUUGCCAAAGUCAUGUGAGCAACUGAAGGUGCCUGAGUCCAUCGUGUUGGCGCUUCCUGUGGUUGAUGAGGUUGCGUCGGUGAUUCCUUUGGUUGAGGUUGUUGAUGCGGUCAGUGUGUUGAUGUCGGCUCCUGGCAGCGUCUUGGUUGAUGACAACGAAACUAAGAAAUUCAAUGAGUUUUAUGAUUUUCUUGACAAAUGGGUGGCUCAUCAGCCGACAUCUGGCAAGACAAGUGACCCUCCAAAGAAGAAGUCAACUAAGGAGAAACCAAAGAAGAAGAAAAACAAGAAGUGUGGCGCCAUCCGAAAGGCGUCUGUGAGUUCAUAA
Molecule: ribosomal RNA, 1500 nt
Filed under: Triticum aestivum (bread wheat)
Lineage: Eukaryota; Viridiplantae; Streptophyta; Magnoliopsida; Poales; Poaceae
Description: partial small subunit ribosomal RNA
Source: RNAcentral